UACAGAGGUGGCGAGCGUUAUUCGGAAUUAUUGGGCGUAAAGGGCGCGUCGGCGGCCCUGUAAGUCAAAGGUGAAAUCCCUCGGCUUAACCGAGGACGUGCCUUUGAUACUGCGGGGCUCGAGGCCGGGAGAGGGUAGUGGAAUUCCCAGUGUAGCGGUGAAAUGCGUAGAUAUUGGGAGGAACACCAGUGGCGAAGGCGGCUGCCUGGACCGGUUCUGACGCUGAGGCGCGAAAGCGUGGGGAGCAAACAGG
RNAcentral lists this ribosomal RNA (253 nucleotides) under uncultured bacterium. RNAcentral describes it as "partial 16S ribosomal RNA". It matches the Rfam family "Bacterial small subunit ribosomal RNA", at positions 524 to 776 of the family's 1533-position model. The record is from RNAcentral.